This 253-nucleotide ribosomal RNA is filed under the name uncultured bacterium. Its description in RNAcentral is "partial 16S ribosomal RNA". It matches the Rfam family "Bacterial small subunit ribosomal RNA", at positions 524 to 776 of the family's 1533-position model. The record is from RNAcentral.
UACGUAGGGUGCGAGCGUUGGCCGGAAUUAUUGGGCGUAAAGAGCUUGUAGGCGGUCUGUUGCGUCUGCUGUGAAAACCCGAGGCUCAACCUCGGGCCUGCAGUGGGUACGGGCAGACUAGAGUGCGGUAGGGGAGAAUGGAACUCCUGGUGUAGCGGUGGAAUGCGCAGAUAUCAGGAAGAACACCGAUGGCGAAGGCAGUUCUCUGGGCCGUAACUGACGCUGAGGAGCGAAAGCGUGGGGAGCGAACAGG